RNAcentral lists this ribosomal RNA (497 nucleotides) under uncultured bacterium. Its description in RNAcentral is "partial 16S ribosomal RNA". It matches the Rfam family "Bacterial small subunit ribosomal RNA", at positions 28 to 507 of the family's 1533-position model. The record is from RNAcentral.
GAUGAACGCUGGCGGCGUGCCUAAUACAUGCAAGUCGAGCGAACAGACGAGGAGCUUGCUCCUCUGACGUUAGCGGCGGACGGGUGAGUAACACGUGGAUAACCUACCUAUAAGACUGGGAUAACUUCGGGAAACCGGAGCUAAUACCGGAUAAUAUAUUGAACCACAUGGUUCAAUAGUGAAAGACGGUUUUGCUGUCACUUAUAGAUGGAUCCGCGCCGCAUUAGCUAGUUGGUAAGGUAACGGCUUACCAAGGCAACGAUGCGUAGCCGACCUGAGAGGGUGAUCGGCCCCACUGGAACUGAGACACGGUCCAGACUCCUACGGGAGGCAGCAGUAGGGAAUCUUCCGCAAUGGGCGAAAGCCUGACGGAGCAACGCCGCGUGAGUGAUGAAGGUCUUCGGAUCGUAAAACUCUGUUAUUAGGGAAGAACAAAUGUGUAAGUAACUAUGCACGUCUUGACGGUACCUAAUCAGAAAGCCACGGCUAACUACGUG